This 245-nucleotide ribosomal RNA is filed under the name uncultured bacterium. RNAcentral's name for it is "partial 16S ribosomal RNA". It matches the Rfam family "Bacterial small subunit ribosomal RNA", at positions 90 to 334 of the family's 1533-position model. The record is from RNAcentral.
CGUGAGCGGCGGACGGGUGGGUAACGCGUGGGUAACCGUGCCUCAUACAGGGGGAUAACAGUUGGAAACGGGUGCUAAUACCGCAUAAGCGCACAGUACCGCAUGGUACCGUGUGAAAAACUCCGGUGGUAUGAGAUGGACCCGCGUCUGAUUAGCUAGUUGGUGGGGUAACGGCCUACCAAGGCGACGAUCAGUAGCCGACCUGAGAGGGUGACCGGCCACAUUGGGACCGAGACACGGCCCAA